This is a small nuclear RNA of Grammomys surdaster, 107 nucleotides long. The record is from RefSeq and is a predicted model, not a curated record. Lineage: Eukaryota; Metazoa; Chordata; Mammalia; Rodentia; Muridae.
GGGCUCGAUUCAGCAGCACAUAUACUAAAAUUGGAACGAUACAGAGAAGAUCAGCAUGGCCCCUGCGCAAGGGUGACACGCAAAUCCGUGAAAUGUUCCAUAUUUUC